RNAcentral lists this ribosomal RNA (459 nucleotides) under uncultured bacterium. RNAcentral describes it as "partial 16S ribosomal RNA". It matches the Rfam family "Bacterial small subunit ribosomal RNA", at positions 338 to 795 of the family's 1533-position model. The record is from RNAcentral.
CCUACGGUAGGCAGCAGUGAGGAAUAUUGGUCAAUGGGCGGAAGCCUGAACCAGCCAAGUAGCGUGCGGGAUGAAGGCCCUACGGGUCGUAAACCGCUUUUGCACGGGGAUAACACCCUCCACUUGUGGAGGUCUGCAGGUACCGUGCGAAUAAGGGCCGGCUCAUUCCGUGCCAGCAGCCGCGGUAAUACGGAAGGCCCGAGCGUUAUCCGUAUUCAUUGGGCUUAAAGGGAGCGUAGGCGGGCGUUCAAGUCAGCUGUAAAAUCGCGCGGCUCAACCGCGCCCCGCAGUUGAAACUGGACGCCUUGAGUUCACAACAGGCAGGCGGAAUUCGUGGUGUAGCGGUGAAAUGCAUAGAUAUCACGAGGAACCCCGAUUGCGAAGGCAGCCUGCCGGGGUGCGACUGACGCUGAGGCUCGAAGGUGCGGGUAUCAAACAGGAUUAGAUACCCGUGUAGUC